Chenopodium quinoa (quinoa) is the source of this 1731-nucleotide long non-coding RNA. RefSeq lists it as uncharacterized. Lineage: Eukaryota; Viridiplantae; Streptophyta; Magnoliopsida; Caryophyllales; Amaranthaceae. The record is from RefSeq and is a predicted model, not a curated record. The transcript is spliced from 2 exons.
AUCAUAUGAGUUUGACAAACAAAAAAUCAAAAAAUAGAAGGAAAAUUUGUAAACAUUAAGUCAACCUUUUGGCCGUCUGCUUUUAUUACGUCAUCCUUUUGAUUAUUUCUAAACACGUCAACCUUAUAGUACCAUUAAUUUAUAUUACGUAUUUUACUGGUUACCUGAUAAACCCUUAAUAUUGUUUGAACUUGUGGGAUGGAAAAUCUGACUUGCCAUUUUAACCCCUACAAAAAAAUAAAAAUUGUCAUUUUAUGAUGCCAACUCAUCAAGACUAUAAUCCAAUUUUACUAAAAAAAAAAAAAGACUAAUACUAUACUCCAAUUUUGCAAACUCACGGUUCCUCCUUUUUCACCAUCUUCCUUUCAUCAUCAUACUACUACUCCAUUGAACACAAUACUAUACAAUUCUUCCUUUAAUUUAUCUUCAUUCCUUUAAUCACCUUAUAUUCUUCUUUUCUCUUUAAACUCCAUUAAUUAAAACCCACUCCAUACUCCAGGUGGUGAAUGCAGUAGAAGAUGUUUCGAGUAUAAUUGGGCAAAUUUUAAGGUGAAAAUGGUGGACCAAAUACUUGAUAUUGUGGCAUUAAGGUUUUGGCAUGGUGGUCAGUUUAAAGUGAUGGAUAAUGGACAGUUGGUGUAUUUUGGAGAAAAACGUAAAACAUUUGACCUUGAUCCUGAUGAGAUGAGUUAUUUUAAUGUGGUUGACUUGGCUAAGAAGUGUGGUGGUUACAACAAUGUAGAUGAAAUUUCAUACUUAGUGCCUGGGUUGAAAUUGGAUGAUGGGUUAAGGAAAAAAAAAAUUUGCAGGUAAGUGGUAGAAGAGGCUUCGGAAGGGUUCUGACCACUCAAUCAAGUCAAGUUUGAUCAAGAUACUAAAUUUGUGAGAAAUCAUGACCCUUGAUUUGUGAGAAAUCAUAGUUUUAGAUUAUUAUUAAUAUAUUAUAUACAAUGAAGGUUAGCAAGAGAUUGAAUAAAAAAAAAUCCAUGAUUGAAGAAGGCACAUAUGUGCCACUUUAAGGCUCAUAAUUAUUCUUUGUGAGGUUCAGGUACACAAAUGCGUACGUUGUAUCAAAAAAAAAAAAAAAAAAAAUUCAAACAACAUUCGUCUUUUUUUUUUUUGAAAAAAAAAAUUCAAACGUAAGAAAAUAAUGAUAUUAUAAGAUUAACGUGUUAAAAAAUAAUCAAAAGAUUGACAUAAUAAAAGCGAACAAUCAAAAGGUUGACUUAUUAUUUACAUGUUUUCCUUUUUUGGAAAAUUACAUCAGCCUUUUUACCUCCACCUAAUACUCCACGUAAGCAAUUAACUUGCUUUUGCAAAUCAUUUUAUAUUUUAACGUAAUAAAAAUUAGUGGUAAUACAAGGUUGACGUGUUUAAAAAUAAUCAAAAGGUUGACGUAAUAAAAGCGGACGUCCAAAAUGUUGACUUAAUAAUUACAAAUUUUCCAAAACAGAAAGUCAAACGAUGGCAAACGAACCCUUAGUUAUUAUCCUUCUAGUCUUAUAUAUGCGAUGAAAAAACCAAUAAGUAGAACCUGCUCAUUCUAGGAAAAUGGUGACUGGGACGGGUUGCAAGCUACUUUACAAGGAUAGAAAGCAUGUGUUUAAUCAUAGAGGAAGAUAAAUAAACUGCGUAUCGAUUGUUAAAUGUACAAAGCGCCAAUUUUUCAUUGGUGCUAUGAACUGUAUAUGUAUAGUAUUUGAUGCAUAAUUGAAACUUAAAUUUUCGCUA